GAUGAAGAACGUAGCGAAAUGCGAUAAGUAGUGUGAAUUGCAGAAUUCAGUGAAUCAUCGAAUCUUUGAACGCACAUUGCGCCCCUUGGUAUUCCAUGGGGCAUGCCUGUUCGAGCGUCAUUUGUACCUUCAAGCUCUGCUUGGUGUUGGGUGUUUGUCUCGCCUCUGCGUGUAGACUCGCCUCAAAACAAUUGGCAGCCGGCGUAUUGAUUUCGGAGCGCAGUACAUCUCGCGCUUUGCACUCAUAACGACGACGUCCAAAAGUACAUUUUUACACUCUUGACCUCGGAUCAGGUAGGGAUACCCGCUGAACUUAAGCAUGUCAAUAAGCGGAGGA
RNAcentral lists this unclassified non-coding RNA (337 nucleotides) under soil metagenome. RNAcentral's name for it is "partial contains 5.8S ribosomal RNA, internal transcribed spacer 2, and large subunit ribosomal RNA". The stretch from base 1 to 120 matches the Rfam family "5.8S ribosomal RNA", at positions 35 to 154 of the family's 154-position model. The record is from RNAcentral.